RNAcentral lists this ribosomal RNA (265 nucleotides) under uncultured soil bacterium. RNAcentral's name for it is "partial 16S ribosomal RNA". It matches the Rfam family "Bacterial small subunit ribosomal RNA", at positions 26 to 281 of the family's 1533-position model. The record is from RNAcentral.
AGAUUGAACGCUGGCGGCAUGCUUUACACAUGCAAGUCGAACGGUAACAGGCCGCAAGGUGCUGACGAGUGGCGAACGGGUGAGUAAUGCAUCGGAACGUGCCCAGUCGUGGGGGAUAACGCAGCGAAAGCUGUGCUAAUACGCAUACGAUCUAUGGAUAGAACGCGGGGGACCGAAAGGCCUCGCCGCGAGUUGGACGCGGCCGAGUGGUCGAGAGUUACGCGUUAGGUUGGUAGGGGUAAACGGCCCACCGAAGGCGACGAUC